Molecule: ribosomal RNA, 553 nt
Filed under: uncultured bacterium
Lineage: Bacteria
Description: partial 16S ribosomal RNA
Rfam family: Bacterial small subunit ribosomal RNA
Source: RNAcentral
UGGGGAAUUUUGGACAAUGGGCGCAAGCCUGAUCCAGCCAUGCCGCGUGCGGGAAGAAGGCCUUCGGGUUGUAAACCGCUUUUGUCAGGGAAGAAAUCUUCUGAGUUAAUACCUCGGGAGGAUGACGGUACCUGAAGAAUAAGCACCGGCUAACUACGUGCCAGCAGCCGCGGUAAUACGUAGGGUGCAAGCGUUAAUCGGAAUUACUGGGCGUAAAGCGUGCGCAGGCGGUUUUGUAAGACAGAGGUGAAAUCCCCGGGCUCAACCUGGGGACUGCCUUUGUGACUGCAAGGCUUGAGUGCGGCAGAGGGGGGAUGGAAUUCCGCGUGUAGCAGUGAAAUGCGUAGAUAUGCGGAGGAACACCGAUGGCGAAGGCAAUCCCCUGGGCCUGCACUGACGCUCAUGCACGAAAGCGUGGGGAGCAAACAGGAUUAGAUACCCUGGUAGUCCACGCCCUAAACGAUGUCAACUGGUUGUUGGGAAGGUUCCUUCUCAGUAACGUAGCUAACGCGUGAAGUUGACCGCCUGGGGAGUACGGCCGCAAGGUUGAAAC